GACGAACGCUGGCGGCGUGCUUAACACAUGCAAGUCGAACGGAAAGGCCCUGCUUUUGUGGGGUGCUCGAGUGACGAACGGGUGAGUAACACGUGAGUAACCUGCCCUUGACUUUGGGAUAACUUCAGGAAACUGGGGCUAAUACCGGAUAGGAGCUCCUGCUGCAUGGUGGGGGUUGGAAAGUUUCGGCGGUUGGGGAUGGACUCGCGGCUUAUCAGCUUGUUGGUGGGGUAGUGGCUUACCAAGGCUUUGACGGGUAGCCGGCCUGAGAGGGUGACCGGCCACAUUGGGACUGAGAUACGGCCCAGACUCCUACGUGAGGCAGCAGUGGGGAAUAUUGCACAAUGGGCCGAAGCCUGAUGCAGCAACGCCGCGUGCGGAAUGACGGCCUUCGGGUUGUAAACCGCUUUCGCCUGUGACGAAGCGUGAGUGACGGUAAUGGGUAAAGAAGCACCGGCUAACUACGUG
Molecule: ribosomal RNA, 468 nt
Filed under: uncultured bacterium
Lineage: Bacteria
Description: partial 16S ribosomal RNA
Rfam family: Bacterial small subunit ribosomal RNA
Source: RNAcentral